ACACACUUGCAAAAGCCCACUGGGGUUCACGACAGAGUGAAGCCUUCACCCUCCUGCAGCCACGGCUUGCUUGCAGAAAGCAUCAGCGCACCUUGGAGGGAAGAACGAUCUCCCAAAUUCUGGUUCGGAGGUUCCCAUACCCAGCAAGCAGAGCCAGGCUGAAGGGAACAGUAUCUUUCUCUCCCUCACCCCAGCGUUCCCUAAGGACAGAAUGCAAGCUUCCUGCAGCCAGUGAAGCCCACAAACGUAUCCUCAGGGCCCAGCACAAGGACUGGCACACAAGGACCCCGACCGUGACUUGCUGAACGAUACUCAUGCUGAGGGAAGCCAGCUUCCAUGUUGUAAGGAUGCUGAAGCAGCACUGUGGAGAUCCAUGUGGCAAGGAGCCGAGGCCUCUGCCAGCAGCCAGCGCCAGUCUGCCAGCGAGAUGAGCAAGCCGUCUUGCAGCCAGUUCAACGAAUUGUUAUCUCUGGACCACUGGGCUCACAUCGUGAACAGCUGCUCCACCCUCUGUCUUUCACCAGCAAGUUUUGCUGGUAACCAAGACCACAUAGGUCUUAUGUAAGCCAUCUUCACAAACUACCAACUAUUAAACUGGUUAAUUCGUCUUUCAGAUCAGAAACAAGAGGCCAGGAGUAAAAAAUGUGCCAAUCAGAGAAGAAUUACCCGGCCACCAAAUUACCAGUCACUCACUCAUCUCAACUCUCCUCCCUGGCUCCUUUACUUUGAAGCUUAGGUCUGCAAUGGUUAUUUUACAUAGAAGAGCAAAAUAUGCUCCCUUCAAAUUUCACUUUUUUUACUAUUUUGAAAUUAAAACCAAUUUUGUUUAGAGACAGGGUUGCACUCUGUCACCCAGGAUGGAGUGCAGUGGCAUGAUCAUAGCUCGCUAUAACCUCAAACUCCUGGGCUCAAGUGAUCCUCCCACCUCAGCCUCCCGAGUAGCUGGUACAGGAGUGUGCCACCAUGCUUGGCUUCACUUUAUUUUGUUGACUUAACUUUUUCCAGAGACAUCUUACAAGAGCCUGUUUUCCAUCCUAAUAGUACGACAUAACUCCAGACAUAGGCUUUAGACGUUCUCAUGCCACCCUAUCUUCAAAACCACAGAGAGUUCAUGAGCCAGUCUUGCCCAUCUCCAAUCAGGGAACUUCUAAAAUAAAAACCUUAGCAAUCUCCUUGGCCCAAAACUUCACCCCAUCUUGGAAGGGAGGGGAGAGAGAAUGUUCUGAUCUAUAUCUGAUGAGGGCGUGUGGUUGGGACCUGAGCAUCCUCCUGGUUGGGCUAGUGAUGGGGAGAGAGGGCUGUUACUGAUGACUCCCUCCCACAGAAUACCAGAAGCAGGCGGGCAGCUCAGGUGUAUGUAAGGAUGUGAGGCCAAGAAACCAGCCCUCACCAAGUUAUCCCUGUAAAUCCUUGUCUCCCCAUGCACCUCUACUUUGAGUCAGAAAUGGAUUCAUUGCAGGCUCAGUUGUUUGUAUUACGUGAAUGAACUGAACGUAACCAAGCACCAAGAGAGCCCUAAAGACACAGUAGACCUCCUGUAGAAGGGCUCUGAUGGACCUUAAAACAUCGCUUCUCCAACUUUAUGGUGCAUACAAAUCACCUGUGCAUGUUAAAAUGCAGACGGUGACUUAACAGGUCUUGGGGGAGGCCAAGUGUCUGCAUUUCCAACAAGUUCCCAGAUGAUGGCCACACUGCUGAUCUGAGGACCACACUUUGAACAGCAAUCCUUAAAACACACAAGGCUGUGGGACCGCACUCCUGAGAAGAGACCUCACUCUUGGAAGGGAUUCUAGGAGGCUGCAUUCAAACCAUCCCAGAGACAGCUCACAAUUUUGUUAGGGACCUGAUACUAAAAAUUACCAAAUCACAAUCGUGUGCUGAGGGCUUACUUUGUGCUUGUCAGAUGACAUUUCAUUUGAUGCUCUCAAUAACCCUGGAAGGGAUUUCAGAGAUGGGGGGGAUUAUGGUGGAGGUUCAGAAUUAAACUGAUUAAAACUGGCCCAGAGUCACACAACUAUGAAGAGGCUGAGUUG
RNAcentral lists this non-coding RNA (2033 nucleotides) under Pongo abelii (Sumatran orangutan). The record is from RNAcentral. Lineage: Eukaryota; Metazoa; Chordata; Mammalia; Primates; Hominidae.